Molecule: long non-coding RNA, 1737 nt
Organism: Cynoglossus semilaevis (tongue sole)
Lineage: Eukaryota; Metazoa; Chordata; Actinopteri; Pleuronectiformes; Cynoglossidae
Exons: 3
Source: RefSeq, a predicted model, not a curated record
UUGGCGGGCCACAGUGGCUCCUAAAAUGAUUUUUAGCAUUUUCUACACCAUCUAUUGGGGAAAGGUGGUCAUUGCAGGGAAAAGGCAGAUGUAAAACAAUAAUAUAAAUGAAUAAUAGAAUUUUGCCGGAUUAAAAAGCCAAACGAGCCGCCACCGGCCCUCGGGCCCUAGUUUGCCCAUGCCUGGUCUAGACCCUUUUGUUUCUUCUCGAACACAGAAGCAGAACAAUUUAAAAACAUGAGAUGAGUUAAUCCCACCAGGACAAUCGUCCCAGAGAUAAAACCCACAGGUGUGCUUCAUUUAAUUAGAUUAGAAAGUGUGUGCCUGUUUCAUGGCUGUGGCAUUGAGGUCUCCUGCUGCUCCUCCUCCUCCUGCUGCUCCUUCCUCUGCACACCUGGCUUCAAUCACUUGUCAGUGAAACAAAGACCUGCUUUAUCCCAGUAUUGAUGCUUCGGCCAGAUCUGUGCCUCUUUGAGUUUGAGCUCUUUUCUCCUUUGGAAUAUAUACUUUUUUCCCCCCAAAAUUGUUUUAACUUUAUUUUCCCUCCAGUCCCCGAGAUCCUUUUUUGAACCCAGCAGACUCACUGUGAGAACUGUGUUAGAACAUCCAAGGCCGGCCAGCCACAGACUCCUGUUCAUCAAUUUCAGGAUUUGCUCCUAAUUCACCCCCCGCGGCUGCAGGAGUCUCCAAGGAAUCCCUGAAGCUUUUCUUCACUCACUCAAUUCGUGAUGCAGAAUUCCGUCGCUAAGCGAACCGUUCCUUUUAGAAAAAUGCACACAAUAGACUUUACAUAUUAUCUGAAUAUUCGUAUCUGGUAACAUUGUAAAUAACAUUUGUUUUAUAACAUUUAAAACAAAAUAUGUGGCUGUACACGUCAUUUUCGGAGGAUAUUUUUGUCCUUUUUACAGUGAGGAAAGAAAAACAGUUUUAGAAAACGUGAUAGAAAAUGUACAAUUUCUCAGCGUAUUUGUAUGAAACUGCGUCUCAGGGAGUCUUUGGAAGAUUUGUUGCUGUUGGAACUCGAUGAUGAACUUGUGAUGAGGAAGGAGUGAUGGUGGCGGGACGGACGAUCACGCUGCGUGCAUCUUCCCUGAUGUGUGCUGUGAUGGAUCGUCCGGGCUGACGGAACUCAACAAAAACCAACACGGCACACGGGCAGAUUUACGCACCCACACAGAAAUGUCAGUGAAAUGAACACAGGCAGUCACGAAAGAAGAAAGAUCUAACGUAAAUACACACAUUUGUCACCCAUGUGUUGAACAAAUGAUACGCGACUGUAUCUAAAUCAUACCCAACCUCUCUAUUAGAAUAAAUAAUGACAAAGAAUACCAUAAAAAUCCAGCAUUUUUCUGAACUACAAAUACACCUACUGGCUGUUUUUUGAAGUAUUCAGCGAUGUAAAUUAUUCACAUUUUGUGGAGCUGGAACUCGUGAGUCAUGACGAACUGUUUCGAACACUGGAUUUCUUUUUGUAAAAAGAGUGUAGAAAAAGGUGCAGUCGUGAUUCCAAAAUUCAGGCCCAGAAAACAGAAUUUGAAGUCAGUACAGGAGGUCCUUGGUUUACGAUGUCUUCGAUCUACGGCGUUUUGUGGUUAUGUUACCAUUUCAUUUCAUUUAUCAUUCCCUACAUAUGAGGUUAAACCUUGGCCAAUAGUUCCGGUGCGAACUGGUUGGCGAGCAGAGAUUGUGCUACAUUUUGCUUUCUUUCAUUUGGGUUGUUUUUUUAGAACGUUUUCC